UGCCAGCAGCCGCGGUAAUACGGAGGGUGCAAGCGUUGUUCGGAAUUAUUGGGCGUAAAGAGCAUGUAGGCGGACUGUUAAGUCAGGGGUGAAAUCCCGGGGCUCAACCCCGGAACUGCCUCUGAUACUGGUAGUCUUGAGUUCGAGAGAGGUGAGUGGAAUUCCGAGUGUAGAGGUGAAAUUCGUAGAUAUUCGGAGGAACACCAGUGGCGAAGGCGGCUCUCUGGGUCGAUAUUGACGCUGAGGCGCGAAGGCGUGGGUAGCGAACGGGAUUAGAUA
Molecule: ribosomal RNA, 279 nt
Filed under: uncultured bacterium
Lineage: Bacteria
Description: partial 16S ribosomal RNA
Rfam family: Bacterial small subunit ribosomal RNA
Source: RNAcentral